AGCAGCCGCGGUAAUUCCAGCUCCAAUAGCGUAUAUUAAAGUUGUUGCAGUUAAAAAGCUCGUAGUUGAAUUUCGAGACCGGUCUACUGGUCGUGCUUUUGUACGUACUGGUUUUAUUGGUUUCUCCUUUCUGACGAACUAUAAUGCCAUUAAUCUGGUGUUAUGGGGAAUCAGGACUGUUACUUUGAAAAAUUAGAGUGUUUAAAGCAGGCUCACGCUUGAAUACAUUAGCAUGGAAUAACGGAAUAGGACGUUUGAUUCUAUUUUGUUGGUUUCUAGGAUCGACGUAAUGAUUAAUAGGGAUAGUUGGGGGCAUUAGUAUUCAAUUGUCAGAGGUGAAAUUCUUGGAUUUAUUGAAGACUAACUACUGCGAAAGCAUUUGCCAAGGAUGUUUUCAUUAAUCAAGAACGAAAGUUAGGGGAUCGAAGACGAUCAGAUACCGUC
This 444-nucleotide ribosomal RNA is filed under the name uncultured Glomus. RNAcentral describes it as "SSU rRNA". It matches the Rfam family "Eukaryotic small subunit ribosomal RNA", at positions 569 to 1019 of the family's 1831-position model. The record is from RNAcentral. Lineage: Eukaryota; Fungi; Glomeromycota; Glomeromycetes; Glomerales; Glomeraceae.